This 487-nucleotide ribosomal RNA is filed under the name uncultured bacterium. Its description in RNAcentral is "partial 16S ribosomal RNA". It matches the Rfam family "Bacterial small subunit ribosomal RNA", at positions 30 to 504 of the family's 1533-position model. The record is from RNAcentral.
AUUGAACGCUGGCGGCAGGCCUAACACAUGCAAGUCGAACGGUAACAGGAAGAAGCUUGCUUCUUUGCUGACGAGUGGCGGACGGGUGAGUAAUGUCUGGGAAACUGCCUGAUGGAGGGGGAUAACUACUGGAAACGGUAGCUAAUACCGCAUAACGUCGCAAGACCAAAGAGGGGGACCUUCGGGCCUCUUGCCAUCGGAUGUGCCCAGAUGGGAUUAGCUUGUUGGUGGGGUAACGGCUCACCAAGGCGACGAUCCCUAGCUGGUCUGAGAGGAUGACCAGCCACACUGGAACUGAGACACGGUCCAGACUCCUACGGGAGGCAGCAGUGGGGAAUAUUGCACAAUGGGCGCAAGCCUGAUGCAGCCAUGCCGCGUGUAUGAAGAAGGCCUUCGGGUUGUAAAGUACUUUCAGCGGGGAGGAAGGGAGUAAAGUUAAUACCUUUGCUCAUUGACGUUACCCGCAGAAGAAGCACCGGCUAACUCC